RNAcentral lists this ribosomal RNA (253 nucleotides) under uncultured bacterium. RNAcentral describes it as "partial 16S ribosomal RNA". It matches the Rfam family "Bacterial small subunit ribosomal RNA", at positions 524 to 776 of the family's 1533-position model. The record is from RNAcentral.
UACGAAGGGGGCUAGCGUUGCUCGGAAUUACUGGGCGUAAAGCGCACGUAGGCGGCUUGUUAAGUCGGAGGUGAAAUCCUGGAGCUCAACUCCAGAACUGCCUUCGAAACUGGCGAGCUUGAGUCCGGGAGAGGUGAGUGGAACUGCGAGUGUAGAGGUGAAAUUCGUAGAUAUUCGCAAGAACACCAGUGGCGAAGGCGGCUCACUGGCCCGGUACUGACGCUGAGGUGCGAAAGCCAGGGUAGCAAACGGG